Molecule: ribosomal RNA, 450 nt
Filed under: uncultured bacterium
Lineage: Bacteria
Description: partial 16S ribosomal RNA
Rfam family: Bacterial small subunit ribosomal RNA
Source: RNAcentral
GUGGGGAAUAUUGGACAAUGGGCGAAAGCCUGAUCCAGCCAUGCCGCGUGUGUGAAGAAGGUCUUCGGAUUGUAAAGCACUUUAAGUUGGGAGGAAGGGUAGUAACCUAAUACGUUGCUACUUUGACGUUACCGACAGAAUAAGCACCGGCUAACUUCGUGCCAGCAGCCGCGGUAAUACGAAGGGUGCAAGCGUUAAUCGGAAUUACUGGGCGUAAAGCGCGCGUAGGUGGUUCAGCAAGUUGAAGGUGAAAUCCCCGGGCUCAACCUGGGAACUGCCUCCAAAACUACUGAGCUAGAGUACGGUAGAGGGUAGUGGAAUUUCCUGUGUAGCGGUGAAAUGCGUAGAUAUAGGAAGGAACACCAGUGGCGAAGGCGACUACCUGGACUGAUACUGACACUGAGGUGCGAAAGCGUGGGGAGCAAACAGGAUUAGAUACCCCUGUAGUCC